AUCCGGAUAGCUCAGUGGUCUAAAGCAAUUGCCCGGAAAGCGAAAGGCUCGGGUUUAAUUCCCGAUCCAUUUA
This 73-nucleotide transfer RNA is filed under the name Camponotus floridanus (Florida carpenter ant). It matches the Rfam family "tRNA". Rfam says of the family: Transfer RNA (tRNA) molecules are approximately 80 nucleotides in length. Their secondary structure includes four short double-helical elements and three loops (D, anti-codon, and T loops). Lineage: Eukaryota; Metazoa; Arthropoda; Insecta; Hymenoptera; Formicidae. The record is from Rfam by way of RNAcentral.